CCUACGGGUGGCAGCAGUGGGGAAUAUUGGACAAUGGGCGCAAGCCUGACCCAGCAACGCCGCGUGAGUGAAGAAGGCUUUCGGUUUGUAAACUUCUUUUGUCAGGGAAGAAAAUGACGGUACCUGACUAAGAAGCCCCGGCUAACUACGUGCCAGCAGCCGCGGUAAUACGUAGGGGACAAGCGUUAUCCGGAUUUACUGGGUGUAAAGGGAGCGUAGACGGCAACACAAGUCUGGAGUGAAAUCCCGGGGCUUAACCCCGGGACUGCUUUGGAAACUGUGCGGCUGGAGUGCAGGAGGGGUAAGCGGAAUUCCUAGUGUAGCGGUGAAAUGCGUAGAUAUUAGGAGGAACACCGGUGGCGAAGGCGGCUUACUGGACUGUAACUGACGUUGAGGCUCGAAAGCGUGGGGAGCAAACAGGAUUAGAUACCCCUGUAGUC
Molecule: ribosomal RNA, 440 nt
Filed under: uncultured bacterium
Lineage: Bacteria
Description: partial 16S ribosomal RNA
Rfam family: Bacterial small subunit ribosomal RNA
Source: RNAcentral